UGGGGUGUCGUCUAAUGGUAGGACACCGGUUUCUGGUACCGCACGUGGAGGUUCGACUCCUUCCACCCCAGCCA
RNAcentral lists this transfer RNA (74 nucleotides) under Coriobacteriia bacterium. Its description in RNAcentral is "tRNA-Gln". It matches the Rfam family "tRNA". Rfam says of the family: Transfer RNA (tRNA) molecules are approximately 80 nucleotides in length. Their secondary structure includes four short double-helical elements and three loops (D, anti-codon, and T loops). Lineage: Bacteria; Bacillati; Actinomycetota; Coriobacteriia. The record is from RNAcentral.